CCAGCCUAGAUCUCCCUGUCGCUCGCCGCCGACCUCGACCGCCAGCCUAGAUCCGAGCCGCGAUCAGCCCAGAUCCAACUUCGACCUCUUCGCGUCUCAGUUGUUCGUGCCGCCCAGAUCCAACUCCGGCCUCCCACGCCAAUGCCGCCCGCGUCCGAGCCAUGAGUCCUUCCGCCGCUCGACUCGUCGCGCCACUGCCUGCACCAGCUGCGACCCCGAGCGUUCUCCCUUUUCUCUUCAGCUCGUCCCCGACCGAAGCCUCCACCAGCCAGCCACGUCUGUUCGACGCCGCCCAGCCUCCGUCGCCGUCGUGGUUGCCGUCAAAUUUGUUUUGGUCGAGUUUUGGAGAAGCUUGAAAGUCAAAGGGGCGUCGUCAAGGAAGGUGGAAGUGGUUUUCGCUAUAGGGUAAAGGUAGAGAUGCACCGACGAUGGACAAGCGGAAUUCGUGAUCGAGCCACUAGGACCAGUUUUAUGUUUCCGCUCAUGAGACUUAGAUUUCCUUGCAUGUUUUAUUUAACUUUCAGUUUUGAUAUUUGAAACCUAGUAUUAAAAAUUGUUUUCAGACUUAUUUAUUAACAUUUAUGAUUUAUAGGUACCUAUUAUUGUUUUUAAUAUUUGCAUUUAAUAAAGGAAUUUCGAACUUACCUUAUUUAUUUAACGUUUAUUUCACCAUAAAAAGGUGUCGUCUUAAGUUCCAUACAUGCAUGUAUUUAGUAAUAAUUUAACUUAAGUCCUAGGAGGUCGAGUCGUUAUAAGAACCCAAAUAUCAGCAAUCCGUCGCUCAGUCAACUACUGAACCAAAUAACCACGAUCAAGCUUGAUAGGGAAAAUUUUCUCAUACUCCCUAUAUUUCGAGGCUAUAGAAUUGAAGACUAUCUUCUUGGAACGAAGGAAUGCGCUCCAAUGUUCAUCAAUCGCAACUCGACUAUUGCAAGUGAAGGAUCAGCUGCAGCGGAGCUUCAAGCUCGCAAACAGAGGUGAUUGGUGCCCACAAGUGAAGAGGAAGACAAAGUGUUCAAUCCAACAUAUGACCACUGUCAGACAAAGUGUCCAAUCCAACGUAUGACCACUGUCAGACAAAGUGUUCAAUCCAACGUAUGACCACUGUCAAACCGUUAUAGUUCUGAUCCAUCACUGCUCAGCCGCAGCGCUAAUGUCCUCGCGAGGAAUCAAGUAUUUCCAUUGAUUUGUUUUCUUUCUACCUUACACAUGACUCAAGCCUCCUCGAUCUAAUUGCUCAUAUCUUAUAAAAUCGAGUCAUUACAGUUUGUAUCCGAAUC
Benincasa hispida (wax gourd) is the source of this 1280-nucleotide long non-coding RNA. RefSeq lists it as uncharacterized. Lineage: Eukaryota; Viridiplantae; Streptophyta; Magnoliopsida; Cucurbitales; Cucurbitaceae. The record is from RefSeq and is a predicted model, not a curated record.